ACGCUAUCACUCCUACGGGAGGCAGCAGUAGGGAAUUUUUCCGCAAUGGACGAAAGUCUGACGGAGCAAUGCCGCGUGAGUGAUGAAGGUUUUCGAAUCGUAAAGCUCUGUUGUAAGGGAAGAAUAGCAAGGAUAGGAAAUGCUCCCUUGUCUGACGGUACCUUACCAGAAAGCCACGGCUAACUACGUGCCAGCAGCCGCGGUAAUACGUAGGUGGCAAGCGUUAUCCGGAAUUAUUGGGCGUAAAGCGCAUGUAGGCGGCUUUUUAAGUCUGAUGUGAAAGCCAGUGGCUCAACCACUGAAUUGCAUUGGAUACUGGAAAGCUAGAAUCUUGGAGAGGUAAGUGGAAUUUCAUGUGUAGCGGUGGAAUGCGUAGAUAUAUGAAGGAACACCAAUGGCGAAGGCAGCUUACUGGACAAGUAUUGACGCUCAGAUGCGAAAGCGUGGGGAGCAAACAGGAUUAGAUACCCUGGUAG
This 476-nucleotide ribosomal RNA is filed under the name uncultured bacterium. RNAcentral's name for it is "bacterial SSU rRNA". It matches the Rfam family "Bacterial small subunit ribosomal RNA", at positions 326 to 793 of the family's 1533-position model. The record is from RNAcentral.